Molecule: ribosomal RNA, 253 nt
Filed under: uncultured bacterium
Lineage: Bacteria
Description: partial 16S ribosomal RNA
Rfam family: Bacterial small subunit ribosomal RNA
Source: RNAcentral
UACGUAGGUGGCAAGCGUUGUUCGGAAUUAUUGGGCGUAAAGGGCGCGUAGGCGGCUUGUUAAGUCGGUUGUGAAAGCCCGGGGCUCAACCCCGGAAAGUCGACCGAUACUGGCAGGCUAGAGUACGGAAGAGGUAGCUGGAAUUCCCGGUGUAGCGGUGAAAUGCGCAGAUAUCAGGAGGAACACCGGUGGCGAAGGCGGAUCUCUGGGCCUUACCUGACGCUCAGGCGCGAAAGCUAGGGGAGCAAACAGG